This is a long non-coding RNA of Bos taurus (domestic cattle), 692 nucleotides long. NCBI's taxonomy places the organism in Eukaryota, Metazoa, Chordata, Mammalia, Artiodactyla, Bovidae. The record is from Ensembl.
GUUGGCGCCUCGGCCCCCCCCCGAACCCCAACCCCGGCGCAGCCGCUGUCCACCUGCCAAGCGGGGGAGGGGCGCGGCAGGCGCCGCGGGUCAUAGGUCGCCGGGCCGCCGGCCGUCGUCAUUCAUAAGGCCUGGCGCAGGAUAGCAGCACCAGGGUCGGGUCCAGGAUGGGACCCUGCUAGAGGAGCUUCAGGAGGAUGCUGGGCUCUGGGAGUGGGGCACUCAGUAGACACCUCUUUGCUGGGUGCCUACCCUGGCCUCAUACCAAUGAGCAAUCUGGGGCACAGCCAGAUUGAGGAUUCCCUCUGGGCAAUGCAAAAGGAACCUCAUCUCCUGGAACAGAGUAGCAAGAUGCCCCUUCCUUCAGCGUGCGUGUGUGCAUGAUUAGUCGUGUCCAACUUUGUGACCCCAUGGAAUGUAGCCCACCAGGCUCCUCUGUUCAUGGGAUUAUCCAGCUAAAACCAUCUCUGCCAUCCUGAGUCGCUUCAGUCGUGUCCAACUCUGUGCAACCCCAUCGACUGGAGCCCUUCAGGCUCCUCUGUCCAUGGGAUCCUCCAGGCAAGAAUAUUGGAGUGGGUUGCCAUCUCCUUCUCCAGGGGAUCUUCCAAAGGGAGAGAUUGAACCCUCAUCUCUUAAGUCUCCUGCAUCGGCAGGCGGGUUCUUUUACCACUAGUGCCACCUGCCACCAAAAC